This 744-nucleotide ribosomal RNA is filed under the name uncultured bacterium. RNAcentral describes it as "bacterial SSU rRNA". It matches the Rfam family "Bacterial small subunit ribosomal RNA", at positions 8 to 796 of the family's 1533-position model. The record is from RNAcentral.
AGAGUUUGAUCAUGGCUCAGAGCGAACGCUGGCGGCAGGCUUAACACAUGCAAGUCGAGCGGGCGUAGCAAUACGUCAGCGGCAGACGGGUGAGUAACGCGUGGGAACGUACCUUUUGGUUCGGAACAACCCAGGGAAACUUGGGCUAAUACCGGAUAAGCCCUUACGGGGAAAGAUUUAUCGCCGAAAGAUCGGCCCGCGUCUGAUUAGCUAGUUGGUGAGGUAAUGGCUCACCAAGGCGACGAUCAGUAGCUGGUCUGAGAGGAUGAUCAGCCACAUUGGGACUGAGACACGGCCCAAACUCCUACGGGAGGCAGCAGUGGGGAAUAUUGGACAAUGGGCGCAAGCCUGAUCCAGCCAUGCCGCGUGAGUGAUGAAGGCCCUAGGGUUGUAAAGCUCUUUUGUGCGGGAAGAUAAUGACGGUACCGCAAGAAUAAGCCCCGGCUAACUUCGUGCCAGCAGCCGCGGUAAUACGAAGGGGGCUAGCGUUGCUCGGAAUCACUGGGCGUAAAGGGUGCGUAGGCGGGUCUUUAAGUCAGGGGUGAAAUCCUGGAGCUCAACUCCAGAACUGCCUUUGAUACUGAAGAUCUUGAGUUCGGGAGAGGUGAGUGGAACUGCGAGUGUAGAGGAGAAAUUCGUAGAUAUUCGCAAGAACACCAGUGGCGAAGGCGGCUCACUGGCCCGAUACUGACGCUGAGGCACGAAAGCGUGGGGAGCAAACAGGAUUAGAUACCCUAGUAGUCC